AGCAGCCGCGGUAAUUCCAGCUCCAAUAGCGUAUAUUAAAGUUGUUGCAGUUAAAAAGCUCGUAGUUGAAUUUCGGGAUUGACGUGAUGGUCGUGCCUUACGGGGUAUGAACUGUUGCAGUCAAUUUCUCACCUCCUGGGGAAAUAUGAUGUCCUUAAUUGGGUGUCAUAUGGAACCAGAACUUUUACCUUGAAAAAAUUAGAGUGUUUAAAGCAGGCUUAUUGCUCGAAUACAUUAGCAUGGAAUAAUAAAAUAGGACGGCAUGGUUCUAUUUUGUUGGUUUCUAGGAUCACCGUAAUGAUUAAUAGGGAUAGUUGGGGGCAUUAGUAUUCAAUUGUCAGAGGUGAAAUUCUUGGAUUUAUUGAAGACUAACUACUGCGAAAGCAUUUGCCAAGGAUGUUUUCAUUAAUCAAGAACGAAAGUUAGGGGAUCGAAGACGAUCAGAUACCGUCGUAGUCUUAACCAUAAACUAUGCCGACUAGGAAUCAGACGAUGUUAAUUUUUUAAUGACUCGUUUGGC
This 520-nucleotide unclassified non-coding RNA is filed under the name uncultured Entrophospora. RNAcentral's name for it is "SSU rRNA". It matches the Rfam family "Eukaryotic small subunit ribosomal RNA", at positions 569 to 1084 of the family's 1831-position model. Lineage: Eukaryota; Fungi; Glomeromycota; Glomeromycetes; Entrophosporales; Entrophosporaceae. The record is from RNAcentral.